Molecule: non-coding RNA, 133 nt
Filed under: Amphora coffeiformis
Lineage: Eukaryota; Bacillariophyta; Bacillariophyceae; Surirellales; Surirellaceae
Source: RNAcentral
UACACGUGCCGACGGUGCCGUAUCCUACCGCGUUGCCCAGCAGCUCCUAGCCGCGCCCGGACAUGCCGCGGUACGUGUGAGCCUGUCCGAUGCCAAGUAUGCCACCGAGUUUUACCAACAAGGUGCCGAAAUU